This 274-nucleotide ribosomal RNA is filed under the name uncultured bacterium. RNAcentral describes it as "partial 16S ribosomal RNA". It matches the Rfam family "Bacterial small subunit ribosomal RNA", at positions 523 to 796 of the family's 1533-position model. The record is from RNAcentral.
AUACGGAGGGGGCAAGCGUUAUUCGGAAUCACUGGGCGUAAAGGGUGCGUAGGCGGUUUGAUAAGUCUGAUGUGAAAUCCUAUGGCUCAACCAUAGAACUGCAUUGGAAACUGUCAAACUAGAAUAAUGAAGGGGCAAAUGGAAUUAGGGGUGUAGGGGUAAAAUCCGUAGGUAUCACUAGGAAUACCGAAAGCGAAAGCGAUCUGCUGGGAAGUUAUUGACGCUGAGGCACGAAAGCGUGGGGAGCAAACGGGAUUAGAAACCCCAGUAGUCC